Molecule: long non-coding RNA, 693 nt
Organism: Brachypodium distachyon (stiff brome)
Lineage: Eukaryota; Viridiplantae; Streptophyta; Magnoliopsida; Poales; Poaceae
Exons: 3
Source: RefSeq, a predicted model, not a curated record
UCCUCCUCCUCAUCUCUUCUGUUUCUCUCCCACGAGCUCCUCUCUUCUACCCCUCCCGAACUCUCUUUGCCUCCCUCCCUCCUGACCUCCUCCAUCUCCCUCUCUCCAUCCCGCCGGCCACGACUCCCUCCUUCCCCGGCCUCCUCCCAUCCUGAGCCGAAGAGGCCAGAUCCGGUCUCCCAUGGCCGCGUGCCGCCGGAUCCGCGCCCCGUCGGGCCGCCGCCGCCGAGCAGGAGGGCGCGGGCGCAGCCCCCGAUGCCGGCCCCCGCCGCCACCGCGGAGGAGGGCGCGAGCGCAGCCUCCGAUGCCGCCCACCCCCGCCAUCUCUGCCGGAUCAGGCCGACCCCGGUCAGCUCGUCGCCGGAUCCGGCGACCAAGACGCCGCUGCACACCGCCGAUGGUGGCUGCCAACUGCCAACUCGCGGGUGGAGAGGAGGAGCUUGUCGUCGGUGAACUUGCGGAUUAAUUCGAUGAGGGCGCCGCCGCCGAGGAGACGAAGCCCGUGGGUUCCAGUUGCCGUCGUGGAGAUGAGCCGCCAACGCCGCGGGUUCCAGUGAAUUGAUGAUUUAGAUUGUACUGUGAUUUGUGGAUUUAGAUUGUACGCAGCCGGAUCUUUUGCUUCAUUGGAUUAAUUUGUUUGAUUUGUGAUUAUUGAAUAGAAGAGAGGGCAUGUGGCCUGCUUUUUUUUAUUUU